RNAcentral lists this ribosomal RNA (484 nucleotides) under uncultured bacterium. RNAcentral's name for it is "partial 16S ribosomal RNA". It matches the Rfam family "Bacterial small subunit ribosomal RNA", at positions 30 to 507 of the family's 1533-position model. The record is from RNAcentral.
AUUGAACGCUGGCGGAAUGCUUUACACAUGCAAGUCGAGCGGCAGCGCGGCCUUCGGGCUGGCGGCGAGCGGCGAACGGGUGAGUAAUGCAUCGGUACAUGCCCAGUCGUGGGGGAUAACACUUCGAAAGAAGUGCUAAUACCGCAUACGUCCUGAGGGGGAAAGCGGGGGAUCGCAAGACCUCGCGCGAUUGGAGUGGCCGAUGUCAGAUUAGCUAGUUGGUGGGGUAAAGGCCUACCAAGGCGACGAUCUGUAGCUGGUCUGAGAGGAUGAUCAGCCACACUGGGACUGAGACACGGCCCAGACUCCUACGGGAGGCAGCAGUGGGGAAUUUUGGACAAUGGGGGCAACCCUGAUCCAGCCAUUCCGCGUGAGUGAAGAAGGCCUUCGGGUUGUAAAGCUCUUUCGGCAGGAACGAAACGGUGGGCUCUAACAUAGUCCGCUAAUGACGGUACCUGAAGAAGAAGCACCGGCUAACUACGUG